GUGCCAGCAGCCGCGGUAAGACAGAGGGGGCAAGCGUUGCUCGGAAUUACUGGGCGUAAAGGGCGCGUAGGCGGAAUGGCAAGUCGGUCGUGAAAUCCUUCGGCUCAACCGAAGAACGUCGAUCGAAACUGCCGUUCUUGAGGAUUGCAGAGGAGACUGGAAUUCCCGGUGUAGCGGUGAAAUGUGUAGAGAUCGGGAGGAACACCGGUGGCGAAGGCGGGUCUCUGGGCAAUUCCUGACGCUGAGGCGCGAAAGCGUGGGGAGCAAACGGGAUUAGAUACCCUGGUAGUCC
This 292-nucleotide ribosomal RNA is filed under the name uncultured bacterium. RNAcentral's name for it is "partial 16S ribosomal RNA". It matches the Rfam family "Bacterial small subunit ribosomal RNA", at positions 505 to 796 of the family's 1533-position model. The record is from RNAcentral.